GAUGAACGCUGGCGGCGUGCCUAAUACAUGCGAGUCGAGCGAACAGACGAGGAGCUUGCUCCUCUGACGUUAGCGGCGGACGGGUGAGUAACACGUGGAUAACCUACCUAUAAGACUGGGAUAACUUCGGGAAACCGGAGCUAAUACCGGAUAAUAUAUUGAACCGCAUGGUUCAAUAGUGAAAGACGGUUUUGCUGUCACUUAUAGAUGGAUCCGCGCCGCAUUAGCUAGUUGGUAAGGUAACGGCCUACCAAGGCAACGAUGCGUAGCCGACCUGAGAGGGUGAUCGGCCACACUGGAACUGAGACACGGUCCAGACUCCUACGGGAGGCAGCAGUAGGGAAUCUUCCGCAAUGGGCGAAAGCCUGACGGAGCAACGCCGCGUGAGUGAUGAAGGUCUUCGGAUCGUAAAACUCUGUUAUUAGGGAAGAACAAAUGUGUAAGUAACUAUGCACGUCUUGACGGUACCUAAUCAGAAAGCCACGGCUAACUACGUG
This 497-nucleotide ribosomal RNA is filed under the name uncultured bacterium. RNAcentral's name for it is "partial 16S ribosomal RNA". It matches the Rfam family "Bacterial small subunit ribosomal RNA", at positions 28 to 507 of the family's 1533-position model. The record is from RNAcentral.